UACGUAGGUGGCAAGCGUUGUCCGGAUUUACUGGGCGUAAAGAGCGCGCAGGCGGUCGUUCAAGUCGCGUGUGAAAGCCCCCGGCUCAACUGGGGAGGGUCACGCGAUACUGAUCAACUCGAAGGCAGGAGAGGGUAGUGGAAUUCCCGGUGUAGUGGUGAAAUGCGUAGAUAUCGGGAGGAACACCAGUGGCGAAGGCGACUACCUGGCCUGUUCUUGACGCUGAGGCGCGAAAGCUAGGGGAGCAAACGGG
Molecule: ribosomal RNA, 253 nt
Filed under: uncultured bacterium
Lineage: Bacteria
Description: partial 16S ribosomal RNA
Rfam family: Bacterial small subunit ribosomal RNA
Source: RNAcentral